Molecule: non-coding RNA, 224 nt
Organism: Pelobates cultripes (western spadefoot toad)
Lineage: Eukaryota; Metazoa; Chordata; Amphibia; Anura; Pelobatidae
Source: the annotation of a GenBank genome assembly
GGUAUAGUAAUGAUUCUCAGAAGGGUAUUACAGAGGGGAAUGAGAGUGUGAUCUCUAAUCUCUCCAGCUGAAGCAUGGCUGUGUGGCCGGGCCCCUGGCUGUCUCGGCCCUAAGUCCAUGUUGAAGUGUCCAAGUGGUCAGUCUGCCCCUGGAUGGGUGAGGUGCUCAGCCCAAUAGGAAUCUGGUUUGGAUUCAAAAUCUACACAGAAAAAAAGGGAAUUGGG